AAGGGAGCUCUGCUCCCGGAUGUUAGCGGCGGACGGGUGAGUAACACGUGGGUAACCUGCCUGUAAGACUGGGAUAACUCCGGGAAACCGGAGCUAAUACCGGAUAGUUCCUUGAACCGCAUGGUUCAAGGAUGAAAGACGGUUUCGGCUGUCACUUACAGAUGGACCCGCGGCGCAUUAGCUAGUUGGUGGGGUAAUGGCUCACCAAGGCGACGAUGCGUAGCCGACCUGAGAGGGUGAUCGGCCACACUGGGACUGAGACACGGCCCAGACUCCUACGGGAGGCAGCAGUAGGGAAUCUUCCGCAAUGGACGAAAGUCUGACGGAGCAACGCCGCGUGAGUGAUGAAGGUUUUCGGAUCGUAAAGCUCUGUUGUUAGGGAAGAACAAGUGCGAGAGUAACUGCUCGCACCUUGACGGUACCUAACCAGAAAGCCACGGCUAACUACGUGCCAGCAGCCGCGGUAAUACGUAGGUGGCAAGCGUUGUCCGGAAUUAUUGGGCGUAAAGGGCUCGCAGGCGGUUUCUUAAGUCUGAUGUGAAAGCCCCCGGCUCAACCGGGGAGGGUCAUUGGAAACUGGGAAACUUGAGUGCAGAAGAGGAGAGUGGAAUUCCACGUGUAGCGGUGAAAUGCGUAGAGAUGUGGAGGAACACCAGUGGCGAAGGCGACUCUCUGGUCUGUAACUGACGCUGAGGAGCGAAAGCGUGGGGAGCGAACAGGAUUAGAUACCCUGGUAGUCC
RNAcentral lists this ribosomal RNA (740 nucleotides) under Bacillus sp. (in: firmicutes). Its description in RNAcentral is "bacterial SSU rRNA". It matches the Rfam family "Bacterial small subunit ribosomal RNA", at positions 71 to 796 of the family's 1533-position model. The record is from RNAcentral. Lineage: Bacteria; Bacillati; Bacillota; Bacilli; Caryophanales; Bacillaceae.